GUGGGGAAUCUUAGACAAUGGGGGAAACCCUGAUCUAGCCAUGCCGCGUGAUCGAUGAAGGCCUUAGGGUUGUAAAGAUCUUUCAGGUGGGAAGAUAAUGACUGUACCACCAGAAGAAGCCCCGGCUAACUCCGUGCCAGCAGCCGCGGUAAUACGGAGGGGGCUAGCGUUGUUCGGAAUUACUGGGCGUAAAGCGCACGUAGGCGGAUUGGAAAGUUGGAGGUGAAAUCCCAGGGCUCAACCUUGGAACUGCCUUCAAAACUCCUGGUCUGGAGUUCGAGAGGGGUGAGUGGAAUUCCGAGUGUAGAGGUGAAAUUCGUAGAUAUUCGGAGGAACACCAGUGGCGAAGGCGGCUCACUGGCUCGAUACUGACGCUGAGGUGCGAAAGCGUGGGGAGCAAACAGGAUUAGAAACCCUUGUAGUCC
Molecule: ribosomal RNA, 425 nt
Filed under: uncultured bacterium
Lineage: Bacteria
Description: partial 16S ribosomal RNA
Rfam family: Bacterial small subunit ribosomal RNA
Source: RNAcentral